UACAUUCCUAAGAAUUUGUAUCAAACCAAUCUAUUGUACAUUCGGUUUUAUGUUUUAUGUUGGUAAACAAAAAAAAAAACCCUAACCGAAACGGAAUAACCAAUCUAUUUAGUUAGUGAGUGCAAACCGAUUUGGAUAAUUGGUUAGGCACCAAUAAACCGGUUUGGUUCAAGAGUUUCUCUUUAGACUUGUGAAGAUGGGCAGUGAGACAAAAAUUCCUAAGCAGCGUAGUCGUGUCUGACCAUCUCUGAGAAGAGCUUAUCAGCUCCGAUUUCAGGAGUAAAUCAUUCAUGCUUUUAAUUUGACUAUGCAGCAAUGGAAUUUGGAUUAGUGGUGCUUUUUGCAGGUUUGAUGAGACGAGUUUCACUGUGAAUGGUGUUAAAUACCAAGGAAGCUUGCUCUGUGUUGGGAAUUUGCUAAUGUCAUGGAGCCCUCGUUACUUCUCCGCGGAUAUCUCUCUUCUCUUCAGCUUACUUAUCCAGAAUUGGUCGAUAAAACUAAUGAUAGAGAAAUGCAUGCUGCAUCAACUUACAACAUACUGAAUGAGGAAAGCAGGAUUGUGUACGUGGCUGCUGCAUUGCUUCCUUAUGGAGAUACAUCGUAAGAAACUCAACACCUCUGGAAUAUUGUAGAACAACCUUCGAACAACUCGAGUCGAUCUUUAUAGUUAGAACACCAACAUGGUCUUGUCUACUGUAUAUGAAAUGUUUCACACUCUUUAUUUGUGAAACUUUUGCAAAAGAAUCGAAUUUUCCAUGCUA
This is a long non-coding RNA of Arabidopsis lyrata subsp. lyrata, 761 nucleotides long. RefSeq lists it as uncharacterized. Lineage: Eukaryota; Viridiplantae; Streptophyta; Magnoliopsida; Brassicales; Brassicaceae. The record is from RefSeq and is a predicted model, not a curated record. The transcript is spliced from 2 exons.